GAUAGUGAUCUGCUGCAGCUCAGCCAAUCAACGCGUGUUUACGUUUAUUCACUGCCCUGUGAUUGGCUCGUUGGGUAAGUGAGCUGCACCGAGGCUGAGACGACGUGAGCGGACUACGGAGGCUCGUGUCCAUCAUCAUCAUCAUCAACAACAACAAAGCGUUCCCACAGAGAGAGAGAGUGCACGUGGAGAUGCUACAGGCUGUGUGAAGCAGCGCGCGCACCAUUACAUAAUCACCGCCUCGAGCCCGGACUCAGCCCUAACCCUGACCGGAACCAGAGCCGAGCAUCCGGUCCGCUUCUGCCUGUUGCUGCUCGUCUGUCUGCCUGCCUCCAUUUGUUUUGGGUCGUGGAGACUCCCCCCCCCCCAGAUUCCUGCCUGGAUCUUCUGCCUCUCGGAAUCCCCAGCCAUCCUGUCCCUGUCAGCAUCAGACUCUGGCUUCACUCCGUUGCCUGCCAUCCUCACCCUCGGCCCCGCCUCCCUGGACACUAAGUUCAGCCUCGCUCUUUCUAGCGGACCCCAGGUUAGUUUCAGUCCUUUGCUUAGUCCAUCGUUACAGAUUCAUAUUUACUAAACCCUCUCAGUUAAUCCCUCUCCUCUCUCUUCCACCAGGUCUUGCCAACUUCCUAAGUUAUUUAAAUUAACAGUUAAAUUCAGUUCCUUCUCCGUGUGUUUGUCAUCUGCACCUGAGCUUUUACCAGCCCUGUAACAGAAAUGAGGCGUUGAACACUGCUUAAAGUAGGAUUUUAUUAAUAUGAGUGUGUUACCUCAAUAACAAAUGGGAAUCACUAGGCAAGGCAAAUUUAUUUGUAUAGCGCAUUUCAUACACAAGGCAACUCAAUGUGCUUUACAUGAUAAAACAUUCAAUUGUUUAAAAUCAAUACGAACAAUUAAAAUCACCAGUAAAAUCAAUUAAAAUCAUCAACAAAAUGACCAAAAAUCUCUCUCUCAAUCAUACGCAGUAGAGAAAAAAAGUGCCUUUAACUUUGAUUUAAAAAUGUUCACAUUAGAUGCUGACUUCAACUCUGCUGGCAGUUUGUUCCACUUCUUUGCAGCAUAACAACUAAAAGCAGCAUCACCAUAUUUACUGUGAGCUCUGGGCUCCACUAUCUGACCUGUGUCCAUAGAUCUGAGAGACCUGCUGGGUUCAUACCUGACUAACAUGUCACUGAUGUAUUCUGGACCAAACCCAUUCACACAUUUAUACACCAGCAGCAGAACUUUAAAGUCUAUUCUGAGGCUGACUGGGAGCCAGUGUAAAGACUUUAAAACUGGAGUAAUGUGCUCUGACCUCUUUGUUCUGGUUAAGACCCAAGCUGCAGCGUUCUGAACCAGCUGUAGCUAUGAAGACCAUUACAAUAGUCCAGUCUGCUGGAGAUAAAAGCAUGGACCAGUUUCUCCUGAUCUUUCUGAGUCAUUAAACCUUUCACUCUGGAGAUGUUCUUUAGGUGGUAGAAGCUGUUUUUGUGAUAGAUUUGAUUUGACUGCUGAAUGUAAGAUCUGAGUCAAUCAGAACACCAAGGUUUUUGACUUGGUCUUAGCUUUUAAAGAUUGAGACUCAAGAUACUUGCUGAUAGCAGUCCUCUUUUCCUUGUUACCAAAGAUAAUCACCUCCAUCUUGUCAUGGUUUAGUUGAAGGAAGUUUUCACUCAUCCAGCAGUUUACUUUUUCUAAACAGUCACACAACACCUCAAUGUGACCAUAGUCAUCUGGGUUCAGUGAUAGAUAUAGUUGUGUGUCAUCUGCGUAGCUCUGAUAAUCAACUUUACAGUUCUGUAAAAUUUGUCCUAAAGGAAGCAUAUAAAGGCUAAACAGAAGGGGUCCAAGAACAGAGCCCUGAGGAACCCCACAGGACAUUGGUAAUCUGUCAGAUUCAAAGUUUCCAAUGCUUACAAAAUAGCUUCGCUCCUCCAAGUAUGACUUAAACCAUUGCAUUACUUUUCCAUUUAGUCCAACCCAUGUUUGCAAUCUGUGCAACAAAAUUGUAUGAUCUACAAGUGUCAAAUGCAGCACUUAGAUCCAAUAGAAUGAGAACAGAUACUUUUCCUGAAUCAGUGUUCAACCUUAUGUCAUUGAUCACUUUGAUCAGAGCAGUUUCAGUGCUGUGAUGAGAACGAAAACCUGACUGAAAUUUAUCAAAUAUUUUGUUGAAUGUUAAGAAUUCACUCAGUUGGUUGAAGACCACCAUCUCAAUGAUCUUGGCCAUGAAUGGAAGGUUCUGGUUGGUCUAUAGUUAGCCAGUAUAGAGGCAUCCAGUGUUCUCUUUUUUAACAGAGGUUUCACAGCAGCUACUUUGAGGGAUUUUGGUACGGUGCCUGAUUGGAAUGAGCAGUUAAUUAUCUGACACAAAUCAGUGACAAAUGACUUUACAACAGUUUUAAAGAAGUUUGAAGGUAUUGUGUCAAGACAACAUGUUGAUAGAUUUAGCUGCUGAACAGUUUCCUCUAUUGUUUUUGGGUUCACUGUAAUAAACUCUAACAUUGUAGUUGACUUAUCCCUCA
Molecule: long non-coding RNA, 2501 nt
Filed under: Gouania willdenowi (blunt-snouted clingfish)
Lineage: Eukaryota; Metazoa; Chordata; Actinopteri; Blenniiformes; Gobiesocidae
Description: lncRNA (ENSGWIG00000014995.1)
Source: RNAcentral